RNAcentral lists this ribosomal RNA (460 nucleotides) under uncultured bacterium. RNAcentral describes it as "partial 16S ribosomal RNA". It matches the Rfam family "Bacterial small subunit ribosomal RNA", at positions 338 to 795 of the family's 1533-position model. The record is from RNAcentral.
CCUACGGGUGGCUGCAGUGAGGAAUAUUGGUCAAUGGGCGCGAGCCUGAUCCAGCCAAGUAGCGUGAAGGAUGACUGCCCUACGGGUUGUAAACUUCUUUUAUAAAGGAAUAAAGUGCGGCACGUGUGCCUUUUUGUAUGUACCUUAUGAAUAAGGAUCGGCUAACUCCGUGCCAGCAGCCGCGGUAAUACGGAGGAUCCGAGCGUUAUCCGGAUUUAUUGGGUUUAACGGGAGCGUAGAUGGGUUGGUAAGUCAGAUGUGAAAGUUUGCGGCUCAACCGUAAAAUUGCAAUUGAGACUGGCAGCCUUGAGUACAGUUGAGGUAGGCGGAAUUCGUGGUGUAGCGGUGAAAUGCUUAGAUAUCACGAAGAACUCCGAUUGCGAAGGCAGCUUACUAAACUGCCACUGACAUUGAUGCUCGAAAGUGUGGGUAUCAAACAGGAUUAGAUACCCCUGUAGUC